RNAcentral lists this ribosomal RNA (253 nucleotides) under uncultured bacterium. RNAcentral's name for it is "partial 16S ribosomal RNA". It matches the Rfam family "Bacterial small subunit ribosomal RNA", at positions 524 to 776 of the family's 1533-position model. The record is from RNAcentral.
UACGGAGGGUGCAAGCGUUAUCCGGAUUCACUGGGUUUAAAGGGUGCGUAGGUGGGCUGGUAAGUCAGUGGUGAAAUCUCCAGGCUUAACUUGGAAACUGCCAUUGAUACUAUCAGUCUUGAAUACCGUGGAGGUCAGCGGAAUAUGUCAUGUAGCGGUGAAAUGCUUAGAUAUGACAUAGAACACCAAUUGCGAAGGCAGCUCACUACGGGGUUAUUGACACUGAGGCACGAAAGCGUGGGGAUCAAACAGG